Molecule: small nuclear RNA, 104 nt
Organism: Aotus nancymaae (Ma's night monkey)
Lineage: Eukaryota; Metazoa; Chordata; Mammalia; Primates; Aotidae
Source: Ensembl
GUGCUCACUUUGGCAGCACAUCUACUAACAGUGGAACGAUAGAAAGAUUAGCACAGCCCUUGUGCAAGGAUGACAUGCAAAUGUGUAAGUUGUUCCAUAUUUUA